CCAAGGACUACGAGAACGCCAUCAAGUUCUACAGCCAGGCCAUCGAGCUGAACCCCAGCAAUGCCAUCUACUAUGGCAACCGCAGCCUGGCCUACCUGCGCACCGAGUGCUAUGGCUACGCACUGGGUGACGCCACGCGGGCCGUGGAGAUUGACAAGAAGUACAUCAAGGGCUACUACCGCCGGGCUGCCAGCAACAUGGCCCUGGGCAAGUUCCGGGCUGCCCUGCGUGACUACGAGACGGUGA
This is an RNA transcript of Dipodomys ordii (Ord's kangaroo rat), 246 nucleotides long. It is a transcript of the gene named serine/threonine-protein phosphatase 5 pseudogene, with no coding region annotated. The record is from RefSeq and is a predicted model, not a curated record. NCBI's taxonomy places the organism in Eukaryota, Metazoa, Chordata, Mammalia, Rodentia, Heteromyidae. The transcript has a single exon.